CCGGCACGGUGAGUAACACGUAUCCAACCUGCCGUCUACUCUUGGCCAGCCUUCUGAAGGAAGAUUAAUCCAGGAUGGCAUCAUGAGUUCACAUGUCCGCAUGAUUAAAGGUAUUUCCGGUAGACGAUGGGGAUGCGUUCCAUUAGAUAGUAGGCGGGGUAACGGCCCACCUAGUCAACGAUGGAUAGGGGUUCUGAGAGGAAGGUCCCCCACAUUGGAACUGAGACACGGUCCAA
Molecule: ribosomal RNA, 236 nt
Filed under: uncultured bacterium
Lineage: Bacteria
Description: partial 16S ribosomal RNA
Rfam family: Bacterial small subunit ribosomal RNA
Source: RNAcentral